RNAcentral lists this transfer RNA (72 nucleotides) under Camelus dromedarius (Arabian camel). It matches the Rfam family "tRNA". Rfam says of the family: Transfer RNA (tRNA) molecules are approximately 80 nucleotides in length. Their secondary structure includes four short double-helical elements and three loops (D, anti-codon, and T loops). Lineage: Eukaryota; Metazoa; Chordata; Mammalia; Artiodactyla; Camelidae. RNAcentral also lists the same sequence under 1 other name. The record is from Rfam by way of RNAcentral.
GAAGGUAGAGCUCAGUGGUAGAGCGUGUGCUUAGCAUGCAGGAGAUCCUGGGUUCAAUCCCCAGCACCUCCA